AUUGAACGCUGGCGGCAGGCUUAACACAUGCAAGUCGAGCGGUAGCACAGGGGAGCUUGCCCCCUGGGUGACGAGCGGCGGACGGGUGAGUAAUGUCUGGGAAACUGCCUGAUGGAGGGGGAUAACUACUGGAAACGGUAGCUAAUACCGCAUAACGUCGCAAGACCAAAGAGGGGGACCUUCGGGCCUCUUGCCAUCAGAUGUGCCCAGAUGGGAUUAGCUAGUAGGUGGGGUAAUGGCUCACCUAGGCGACGAUCCCUAGCUGGUCUGAGAGGAUGACCAGCCACACUGGAACUGAGACACGGUCCAGACUCCUACGGGAGGCAGCAGUGGGGAAUAUUGCACAAUGGGCGCAAGCCUGAUGCAGCCAUGCCGCGUGUGUGAAGAAGGCCUUCGGGUUGUAAAGCACUUUCAGCGAGGAGGAAGGUGGUGAGCUUAAUACGCUCAUCAAUUGACGUUACUCGCAGAAGAAGCACCGGCUAACUCCGUG
This 490-nucleotide ribosomal RNA is filed under the name uncultured bacterium. RNAcentral describes it as "partial 16S ribosomal RNA". It matches the Rfam family "Bacterial small subunit ribosomal RNA", at positions 30 to 507 of the family's 1533-position model. The record is from RNAcentral.